GAAAGUAUAGCUUAGUGGUAGAUCACAUGCCUGGCAUGCACGAGGUCCUGGGUUCAAUCCCCAGUGCCUCCA
This 72-nucleotide transfer RNA is filed under the name Camelus bactrianus (Bactrian camel). It matches the Rfam family "tRNA". Rfam says of the family: Transfer RNA (tRNA) molecules are approximately 80 nucleotides in length. Their secondary structure includes four short double-helical elements and three loops (D, anti-codon, and T loops). Further hydrogen bonds mediate the characteristic L-shaped molecular structure. tRNAs have two regions of fundamental functional importance: the anti-codon, which is responsible for specific mRNA codon recognition, and the 3' end, to which the tRNAs corresponding amino acid is attached (by aminoacyl-tRNA synthetases). tRNAs cope with the degeneracy of the genetic code in two manners: having more than one tRNA (with a specific anti-codon) for a particular amino acid; and 'wobble' base-pairing, i.e. permitting non-standard base-pairing at the 3rd anti-codon position. Lineage: Eukaryota; Metazoa; Chordata; Mammalia; Artiodactyla; Camelidae. The record is from Rfam by way of RNAcentral. RNAcentral also lists the same sequence under 1 other name.